ACUAUGGAGUGUACUUGAACUUGUGAGUAGAUAUGAUUUCKGUCAAUCCAAAGCGUGCACGGUGACAUAGUAA
RNAcentral lists this non-coding RNA (73 nucleotides) under unclassified sequences. Its description in RNAcentral is "RAGATH-18 RNA". It matches the Rfam family "RAGATH-18 RNA". From Rfam's summary of the family: Actinobacteria, Firmicutes, Fusobacteria, Thermotogae (1 example). Nearby to self-cleaving ribozyme genes The record is from Rfam by way of RNAcentral.